GCGGGGGUAGCUCAGUGGUAGAGCAUCAGCCUUCCAAGCUGAGGGCCGCGGGUUCGAUACCCGUUCCCCGCU
Molecule: transfer RNA, 72 nt
Filed under: bacterium K02(2017)
Lineage: Bacteria
Rfam family: tRNA
About the family: Transfer RNA (tRNA) molecules are approximately 80 nucleotides in length. Their secondary structure includes four short double-helical elements and three loops (D, anti-codon, and T loops).
Source: Rfam by way of RNAcentral